Molecule: ribosomal RNA, 429 nt
Filed under: Chloroflexota bacterium
Lineage: Bacteria; Bacillati; Chloroflexota
Description: Chloroflexi bacterium partial 16S ribosomal RNA
Rfam family: Bacterial small subunit ribosomal RNA
Source: RNAcentral
UGGGGAAUAUUGCACAAUGGGCGCAAGCCUGAUGCAGCCAUGCCGCGUGUGUGAAGAAGGCCUUCGGGUUGUAAAGUACUUUCAGUCGGGAGGAAGGUGGUAAGGUUAAUAACCUUAUCAAUUGACGUUACCGACAGAAGAAGCACCGGCUAACUCCGUGCCAGCAGCCGCGGUAAUACGGAGGGUGCAAGCGUUAAUCGGAAUUACUGGGCGUAAAGCGCACGCAGGCGGUUGAUUGAGUCAGAUGUGAAAUCCCCGGGCUUAACCCGGGAAUUGCAUCUGAUAAUGGUAAGCUAGAGUCUUGUAGAGGGGGGUAGAAUUCCAUGUGUAGCGGUGAAAUGCGUAGAGAUGUGGAGGAAUACCGGUGGCGAAGGCGGCCCCCUGGACAAAGACUGACGCUCAGGUGCGAAAGCGUGAGGAGCAAACAGG